This 474-nucleotide long non-coding RNA is filed under the name Gossypium barbadense (sea-island cotton). Its description in RNAcentral is "long non-coding RNA (GBAR_LNC010767)". Lineage: Eukaryota; Viridiplantae; Streptophyta; Magnoliopsida; Malvales; Malvaceae. The record is from RNAcentral.
CCGCCGUAAUACCAAACACCGCCACAUUCGGUGGCCAACAACACCUUGAAAUGGGUCUUUCGACCCCGAUUCAAGGCCGUAUUCUGGUAAUCCUUCUUUCCUUCUCUCUUAUAUUUGUUUGUAUUGCAGAUUCGAAUGAAAAAAAAGGAAAAAAACAGAAUAAAAACGAUGGUAAACCACCUUUGAGAUGUAAUCUUCUGACUGUCUCCUGUUGAUUUCUGUAUAUUUGUUUGAUUUUCUCAAUCCGUGUUCUAUUUCUCUAGAAAAAAAAGGGGGAAAAAAUCCCAAUAAAAUGAAUAUCCAUGGCUUUUUAUAGCCAUAUUUACAACUGAUUUUGCCUCUACUCGUUGCAGGUAUGGUGAACGUGGAGAAGGGGUACACGGACAUUAGGCACUAGUGUGUGGUGGUGGAGAACGUGGGUAGUGGCGGUUGAAUGUGGGCACAUGGGGGCUGAAGGGAGGCAACAAAUCUAGG